AUCAUUCUUGUCCUCAAGAAUGAUAAACAGCAAUCAGCAAAACAUAUUACAAUUAUAGACCACAUGCCACUACUAGGAACUAUAACGAAUAUUUAUGUGCAAAUCUAAUAUCCUGCAUACUGGAAUUGGUUUUUCAUAUUUGCCUUUUUUUUCUGCCUUCUUCAACUUUCAAAUUCAUCUCCUCCAAGAAUUACAGAUGUAGCUCCCUUCAAGAUUUUUUUUUUUUUCAGCCUUCUUGAUUUCUCUCGUUUAUCCUCCAUGGAAAUUAGG
This 270-nucleotide unclassified non-coding RNA is filed under the name Hevea brasiliensis (rubber tree). The record is from RNAcentral. Lineage: Eukaryota; Viridiplantae; Streptophyta; Magnoliopsida; Malpighiales; Euphorbiaceae.